AUACGGAGGGUGCGAGCGUUAAUCGGAAUUACUGGGCGUAAAGCGCGCGUAGGCGGUCUAUUAAGUCAGAUGUGAAAUCCCAGGGCUCAACCUUGGAACUGCAUCUGAUACUGGUAGACUAGAGUUUUGGAGAGGGAAGUAGAAUUUCAGGUGUAGCGGUGAAAUGCAUAGAGAUCUGAAGGAAUACCAGUGGCGAAGGCGACUUCCUGGCCAAAAACUGACGCUGAGGUGCGAAAGCGUGGGUAGCAAACGGGAUUAGAAACCCUAGUAGUCCC
RNAcentral lists this ribosomal RNA (275 nucleotides) under uncultured bacterium. RNAcentral's name for it is "partial 16S ribosomal RNA". It matches the Rfam family "Bacterial small subunit ribosomal RNA", at positions 523 to 797 of the family's 1533-position model. The record is from RNAcentral.